Molecule: RNA transcript, 1807 nt
Organism: Carlito syrichta (Philippine tarsier)
Lineage: Eukaryota; Metazoa; Chordata; Mammalia; Primates; Tarsiidae
Gene name: wiskott-Aldrich syndrome protein family member 1 pseudogene
Exons: 2
Source: RefSeq, a predicted model, not a curated record
GACCGGCGGGUGCCCCAGGCAGUGUUCCCUGUGGGCCUAGCUCCCUGGCCAGUGCCUGGAGCGGGUUCCGCCCUGGAGCCUGAUGCUCCCGGGAAAGCAAGGUGGAGUCCCGGGUGCCUAGGCGGACUGGCGCCCACUGCCAAAGCAUGAAGAGGGGGUAAGGCGAGACCCCCCCACCAGGAUCCCCCGGUGAACUGGCACAAAGGUUGAUCUCAAGAUGCCAUUGGUGAAAAGAAACAUCGAUCCUAGGCACUUGUGCCACACAGCCCUGCCUAGAGGCAUUAAGAAUGAAUUGGAAUGUGUAACCAAUAUUUCCUUGGCAAAUAUAAUUAGACAACUAAGUAGCCUAAGUAAAUAUGCUGAAGAUAUAUUUGGAGAAUUAUUCAAUGAAGCACAUAAUUUUUCCUUCAGAGUCAACUCCUUGCAAGAACGUGUGGAUGGUUUAUCUGUUAGUGUUACGCACGCAGCCUGAUCCAAAAGAAGAGGAACUGUCUUUGCAAGAUAUAACAAUGAGAAAAGCUUUCCGAAGUUCUACAAUUCAAGAUCAGCAGCAUUUCGAUCGCAAGACCACUGCAGGAGACGUAUGACAUUUGCGAGCAGCCUCCACCUCUCAAUAUACUCACUCCUUACAGAGAUGAUGGUAAAGAAGGUUUGAAGUUCUAUACCAAUCCUUCAUAUUUCUUUGAUCUAUGGAAAGAAAAAAUGUUGCAAGAUACAGAGGAUACGAGGAAGGAAAAGAGGAAACAGAAGCAGAAAAAUCUAGAUCGUCCUCAUGAACCAGAAAUAGUGCCAAGAGCACCUCAUGACAGGUGGAGAGAAUGGCAGAAGCUGGCCCAAGGUCCAGAGCUGGCCAAAGAUGCUGCUGAUCUCUUACAUAAGCAUAUUGAAGUUGCUAAUGGCCAGCCUCUCAUUUUGAAACAAGACCUCAGACAUAUGUGGGUCAUAUGGAUGGAUCUUAUUCACUGUCUGCCUUGCCUUGCCGUUUAGUCAGAUGAGUGAGCUUCUGACUAGAGCUGAGCAAAGGGUCUUGGUCAGAUCCCAUGAGCCUCCUGCGCCUCCACCAAUGCAUGGAGCAGGAGAUGCGAAACCCGUCCCCACCUGUAUCAGUUCUGCUACAGGUUUGACAGAAAAUCGCCCUCAGUCACCAGCUACAGGCAGAACACCCCCCACACCACCACCUCUGCCAUCUGCCUUGUCAACGUCCUCAUUAAGAGCUUGGAUGACUUCAACUCCUCCCCACCAGUGCCUCCCCCGCCCCUGCCCCCAGCCCCUCACUGCCUUGCAGGCUCCGGCCGUCCCCCCUCCUCCUGCUCCUCUCCGGAUUGCCCCCGGGGUUCUCCACCCACCUCCUCCUCCCAUCGCACCCCCUCGAGUGCAGCCCUCUCCACCGGUAGCCAGAGCUGCCCCUGUAUGUGAGACUGUACCAGAUCAUCCACUCCCACAAGGUGAAGUUCAGGGGUUACCUCCGUCCUCCCCCCCCUCACCCCCCACCCUGCUGCCUCCAUUCAGCUCCAUCUACUGCCCCAGGUUCCCACGUUCCAUUAAUUCCUCCGUCACAAGUUGUACCUGCUUCUGAGCCAAAGCACCAUCCAUCGACCAUACCUGUAAUCAGUGACGCCAGGAGUGUCCUGUUGGAAGCAAUACGAAAAGGUAUUCAGCUACCCAAGUAGAAGAACAGCGUGAACAGGAAGCUAAACACGAGCGCAUUGAAAAUGACAUUGCCCCUAUCCUGUCUCACCGUAUCGCUGUCCAAUAUAGUGAUUCCGAAAAUGAUUCAGAAUUCGAUGAAGUGGAUUGGUUGGACUAA